This is a long non-coding RNA of Varroa destructor (honeybee mite), 2374 nucleotides long. The record is from RefSeq and is a predicted model, not a curated record. Lineage: Eukaryota; Metazoa; Arthropoda; Arachnida; Mesostigmata; Varroidae.
CAACGUUGUAUUUUGACUGUUUAUCUGUCUGCAUGCUUGUCUGUUCGGCUUGUCUAUGGUGUAUUGGAGGUAAACUGAUGACAGCAGCAGAUAUAGAAGCAUAGAUGUCGGAUACUUGUUAUUAGGAGCUGAUCGUAUCCUGUAGACUCAUGAUGAUCGCCAUAUCGUAACGAGAUGAAGUAACGGAUAGGUACACCGGAGCUUGUAUCACACACGCAGCCUAUCACGCUUUUCCACCGUGAAAGCUCACAGAAAUAGAAAGCAGUACACACAGGCUCUGCCUCUGUGUAACGGUAAAUCUAAAGAGUGUAUCUAAAAAAACUACUGAUGUCGCAUAAGGACUGUCUUACAGAAAGGUCGUCGUCUUCUUCCUUUCGGAUAACCGUAGUUCGGAUAGGAUAACUCGAAUUCAAUACGUUGUUUCAAUCAUCCGCUUCAGAAAUUUACAGAGUCACCCGUGCAGGUACGUAUAGAUCAGUGGGCACUAUGUAGCGGACGUAUAUGCAUGUGGUGACGUUGAAUCCUCUGAGUGAAUCAUUUUAUCGAGUUGUUGGAGCCCAGUUAAAGAAAGAUUUCAAGCCAGUUAAAUUUAGUAGCUGAUUGACUUAGCGUUACUCAACCCACUUAACCAAAGUAACCACCUAAGGGUUUUUUGUUGACGUACGCUGUUUACGGAGCGGUGCUGCUCGCGAUGGCUCUAGAGCAAACUAUUCAUUAGUUGCGUAGGAAACGGCCGUUACUCUACAUCCGUUAACAAAACAAGCCCAACUUCGAAAAAUCGCGCACUCUUUUGCACAGUUGCUCCCCCACAUACUAUCACCAUUAACAAUAGUCGCACACUACCGCGAAUAAGAGCGUAUCACUAAAGCAAGGUUCGCUGCAGCGACAACUCGCCGCUGUGACUACGGAAACUAUAAUACCAGCAUCUUCUCCAAGGGUGGUUUGCGCGUUUGCUAGACAACAGAAGCGAUUCGCGCGCAGUUCAGCCUCUCAGCUAUUGUAGACGGCUCUUUCCAUAGUUUUUUUGUCGGGCAGCAGUAGUCGCUAUGUGCGCGAUACUGCAUCCCAAAUAUAUGUAAAGUUACGGUAGGCAAACAGACGUCCUUACCACGGCGGUAAUUACCCACCCCACUACAACACUGACAACUACUGUUAUGACUGACAUUGGCAGACAGAGACGCGUACAGAUGCAGAGAAUGUCGCUAACUAGUAGAACCUUACCGUUAUCGCUGCUGUUGCUCGUUUAUCUACAAAACCAAUGGCAAAUGGGGUGCAACACUAUUUUGGCCACGACUCUGCUGCUGUCGUAGCCGCCCUACGCAAAUUGUUCGGGUAAUAUUUUGGCGUCUUGUCUAAUAACAACUGUCUGUCUAUCGUAACAUGUAUGACUUACUUGGCCGAUCUGUCAGUCCGAUGAGGGUUCGCUUCAUAACUGGAAAAAAAAAAAAAAGCUGCUCUUGUCCUUGUAGGAUGUAGAAACGAUUCAUAUAACGUGGAUUUGGGUUGCACAACAUUUUCGGUAUAACUAGACCGCUCUCCAGUACAUCGAUAGUGGAAAUGCUGUUCAAUCAGUUGGUGUCCUUAUGAUUACUUCCGAGUAUUACGAACGGGAAUGGACCUAUAAAUGGGGGAUUGAAUCGCCUAUCCACGCACUCAGUAUACUAAGUUACAGGAUUCAUCUGUUGAUAUUUUUCCCGCACGCAGGAUAGCUCCCUGUUCAUUCGCACCGUCUGUACAUUUCAAUGAACCGUGUCACAAUAAUUGUCAUCGGUACAUUGUAUGGCAAUCAUCCGAAGUUAAUUGCAGGUUCAUAUUGAAGGAUUAGCUCUCCACAUCAUCAAACGGAACUAUGCCCAGUUGGAAAAGUGUCUCGGUCAUAAAUGAGGUCUGAUCCACAGUUUAACACCUAUAGCCUGAACGAUUUCGACGAAUCGUCAUCCUAUAGGAUUACGUAAAUUAUAAUAAUAUAAUAAAUAAAUAAAUAGGCUACGUAGGAUUACGUAGUCACGGAAAAUCGAAGUAUUCGCUACGCGUGUACAAUGUCAUAAUGAUACACCGUGUGCCUUAAAAGUAUAAUUUCCUAUAAUGCUUGAAUGAAUUUGUUAAAUGAUAUGCUUCAAGACAAGACUCAAGCAUCGAUCAUAUAUGAGUCGAUUUUUUUCGUACCUUUUAGCCCAUUUACAAGGAGGAGUACCUUCGCUGGCCCAUUGUUACACCGAUCCCAAACAAAGCGAUGAUGGAAAAUGGGUACGAACAGCAGAACAUAAACAUCAUAUUUGACAUUGGUGUCAAUAUCCGAUCUGUUCUGUCUGUGAAGCAACACCAAAUGGCUGUAGGAAGCGCUGACGAAUAAAAGAAACACAGUUUCAAUUUA